CGCUCCCUGGCGGCGCGCGCACCCCCUCAGCCAGUCCUGGAGCGCCGAUCGGCGCGCGCCCAGACUCCUCGGACCAAUCAGCGGAGCUCCCUCUCCGCAGCGUGUGAGGAGGGCGAAACUAUCUCCAAGCUUCUUAGCGUGUCCGCUGGAAACCAAUCCCCAGCGUCUCCGACUUGGAUGUCAACGGCGGGAAUGGACGGAGUCACAGCGCCGGCCUCCUUCUGGCCAAUCCUGAGGGUUCCCGCACCGGCGUGGCCCGCCCCUCGCCUCGCUUUUCCGGGAGAUGCAUCCCGCAGCGCGCAGCGCCGCCACCCGCCGAGCGGUGGCGCGCGGCGCUCGCUAAAGAAGGCGGGAAGGGCGGUGCUCGCACCCGAAGUGAUUGGCAGGAGGGAGUGGGGCGGAGAUAAAGAGGGUUUUCUGAGAGUUUAUUGGCUGGAUUGGUAAUGGUGGCGGGAGCAGAAGGAGGCUCAGCUGGGGAUUCGCUGGAGAGAAGCGGAAGUCGAGCGCCACCGCGGUGUUGGCGAGUGUGAAGAGAGAGGAGGAGCGUUUGCGGCCUCAGCGUCUGUCAACAGAACCCUCUUCACCCGUGGUUAAACCCUCCCUAACCCUGAGCUCGUGCUCCCCUCCCGGUGGACGCAGACCUGACCACAGAAGCCCUGCAGCACUCACUGGGGGCUUGAGGGAGCCCCUGAGUCCCCUCCACCCUCGCCGCCUUCUCCUGGGUACCCAGGAAACGUCUCCAAGGGAGGCUGUGACCCAGGACCCCGCCUCGACCUCACCUUCUUCUGUAAGGCGCAGUGAAAGACGAAGAUGAAGACCCCCUGGAAGGCGUUGAAGGUGGUGAAGAGAUAGGCCAUGACCACCGACUCCUUGUUGAUGAAGAGGAGGCCGAAAGCCCAGUGAGAGCCUCGAAGAUGUAAUCACAGAGAGAGAGAGAGAGAGAGAGAGCGAGAGAGAGACAGAGAGAGGAGCAUCGGCUCACCAAGAAGGCCUGUCCUGGUCCCAGGGGCCACAGCGGGAUGGCCCCUACCAACCUGGCCCAGCCGACUUGUUGGAGAGGCAGGAUUUCGUCAUGUUGCCUAGGCUGGCCUCAAACUCCUGGACUCAAGUGAUCUGCCCAUCUUGGCCUCGUAAAGUGCUGGGAUUACGGCUGUGAGCCACCAUUCCUGGCCUUAUUUUGUGUCCAGCUUCUCUCACUCAGCGCCACGUUUCCA
RNAcentral lists this long non-coding RNA (1214 nucleotides) under Homo sapiens (human). RNAcentral describes it as "HSALNT0396232". The record is from RNAcentral. Lineage: Eukaryota; Metazoa; Chordata; Mammalia; Primates; Hominidae.